Molecule: ribosomal RNA, 1816 nt
Filed under: Vibrio parahaemolyticus
Lineage: Bacteria; Pseudomonadati; Pseudomonadota; Gammaproteobacteria; Vibrionales; Vibrionaceae
Description: partial 23S ribosomal RNA
Rfam family: Bacterial large subunit ribosomal RNA
Source: RNAcentral
UUUGUAUAAUGGGUCAGCGACUUAUAUUCAGUGGCAAGGUUAACCAUCUAGGGGAGCCGUAGGGAAACCGAGUCUUAACUGGGCGUUCAGUCUCUGGAUAUAGACCCGAAACCAGGUGAUCUAGCCAUGGGCAGGUUGAAGGUUGAGUAACAUCAACUGGAGGACCGAACCGACUAAUGUUGAAAAAUUAGCGGAUGACUUGUGGCUAGGGGUGAAAGGCCAAUCAAACCUGGAGAUAGCUGGUUCUCCCCGAAAGCUAUUUAGGUAGCGCCUCGGACGAAUACUACUGGGGGUAGAGCACUGUUAAGGCUAGGGGGUCAUCCCGACUUACCAACCCUUUGCAAACUCCGAAUACCAGUAAGUACUAUCCGGGAGACACACGGCGGGUGCUAACGUCCGUCGUGGAGAGGGAAACAACCCAGACCGCCAGCUAAGGUCCCAAAUUACUACUAAGUGGGAAACGAUGUGGGAAGGCUCAGACAGCCAGGAUGUUGGCUUAGAAGCAGCCAUCAUUUAAAGAAAGCGUAAUAGCUCACUGGUCGAGUCGGCCUGCGCGGAAGAUGUAACGGGGCUAAGUAGUAAACCGAAGCUGCGGCAAUGUGCUUUUGCACAUUGGGUAGGGGAGCGUUCUGUAAGCGGUUGAAGGUGUGUGGUAACGCAUGCUGGACGUAUCAGAAGUGCGAAUGCUGACAUGAGUAACGAUAAAGGGGGUGAAAAACCUCCUCGCCGGAAGACCAAGGGUUCCUGUCCAACGUUAAUCGGGGCAGGGUAAGUCGACCCCUAAGGCGAGGCCGAAAGGCGUAGUCGAUGGGAAACGGGUUAAUAUUCCCGUACUUCUUACAAUUGCGAUGGGGGGACGGAGAAGGCUAGGUGGGCCUGGCGACGGUUGUCCAGGUUCAAGUGCGUAGGCUUAAGAGUUAGGUAAAUCCGGCUCUUUCUAAGGCUGAGACACGACGUCGAGCACCUACGGGUGUGAAGUCAUUGAUGCCAUGCUUCCAGGAAAAGCCUCUAAGCUUCAGAUUGUAAGGAAUCGUACCCCAAACCGACACAGGUGGUCGGGUAGAGAAUACCAAGGCGCUUGAGAGAACUCGGGUGAAGGAACUAGGCAAAAUGGUACCGUAACUUCGGGAGAAGGUACGCUCUUGAUGGUGAAGUCCCUUGCGGAUGGAGCUGACGAGAGUCGCAGAUACCAGGUGGCUGCAACUGUUUAUUAAAAACACAGCACUGUGCAAAAUCGUAAGAUGACGUAUACGGUGUGACGCCUGCCCGGUGCCGGAAGGUUAAUUGAUGGGGUUAGACUUCGGUCGAAGCUCUUGAUCGAAGCCCCGGUAAACGGCGGCCGUAACUAUAACGGUCCUAAGGUAGCGAAAUUCCUUGUCGGGUAAGUUCCGACCUGCACGAAUGGCGUAAUGAUGGCCACGCUGUCUCCACCCGAGACUCAGUGAAAUUGAAAUCGCUGUGAAGAUGCAGUGUACCCGCGGCUAGACGGAAAGACCCCGUGAACCUUUACUACAGCUUGGCACUGAACAUUGACCCUACAUGUGUAGGAUAGGUGGGAGGCUUUGAAGCACGUACGCCAGUAUGUGUGGAGCCGUCCUUGAAAUACCACCCUUGUAGUGUUGAUGUUCUAACGUCGACCCCUAAUCGGGGUUGCGGACAGUGCCUGGUGGGUAGUUUGACUGGGGCGGUCUCCUCCCAAAGAGUAACGGAGGAGCACGAAGGUGGGCUAAUCACGGUUGGACAUCGUGAGGUUAGUGCAAUGGCAUAAGCCCGCUUGACUGCGAGAAUGACAAUUCGAGCAGGUGCGAAAGCAGGU